This 254-nucleotide ribosomal RNA is filed under the name uncultured bacterium. Its description in RNAcentral is "partial 16S ribosomal RNA". It matches the Rfam family "Bacterial small subunit ribosomal RNA", at positions 524 to 776 of the family's 1533-position model. The record is from RNAcentral.
UACGUAGGGUCCGAGCGUUGUCCGGAAUUAUUGGGCGUAAAGAGCUCGUAGGCGGUUCGGUAAGUCGGGUGUGAAAACUUUGGGCUCAACCCAAAGCCUGCACUCGAUACUGCUGUGACUUGAGUCCGGUAGGGGAGUGGGGAAUUCCUGGUGUAGCGGUGGAAUGCGCAGAUAUCAGGAGGAACACCGGUGGCGAAGGCGCCACUCUGGGCCGGUACUGACGCUGAGGAGCGAAAGCGUGGGGAGCGAACAGG